ACUCUAAGGAUCAGGAGUCAGCCAGCAUUGUAUGAAAAGCUUUCCCACAAAAACCCUUCACAAGACACACUCCUCGCCACGCUGUCACGGCAAUUAGCAGUACAUGAACAGGCUCGCUCGUGCUCUCGCUGCAGGACCUGCGACUGAGGGCUACAGGGCGGCCUUCUCAUUUCACGGAUGCGAGGGUGGCAGGAAUCCUACUUCAUUCUCUAGUUCACCUGUGUUAGUCAUACCUCCCCAGAGAGACCAGAAGUUCUCUGGACAAGGACUGUCUGUCUCUAUCCCUGGCACACCUGGUCCUGAGCCGGAGGCAUCCCAGGUACUAAGAAACGUCUGCCUCCCUAAUUCAAACUGGACGAGAAUACGCCAAGCGGUGGUGCAGGGUCCAGACGGCCGACCCUCCUGGCCCUGGCCCUGCUCCUGCAUGAUGUUGUUGCUAAUGCUUUGGGUUUCGGUUACCCUGCCCAGCACCUUCUCUGUCUGAAAGCCAAAUGGGUCUUGCCAUACCACGGAGUUUUCUAGUGAAUUCUAAAAGAAGUUGGCUUUUAUAAGGUGAACAAUCACACCUAAAUUUACUUGUUUUUAAAAGUCACUUUAUUUCAGGUUGUGUUCUUUGUGGAAUUGACCUCCAAUUUACAUUAUCAAGAAAUACUUCCCAUAUCUUGAAUAAACUCCUCAAAGGAAAAAAAAAAAUCCCAGGGAAUUACAGUGUGGAUGUGUUUGGACAUUACUGGCAAUGUGUUUCAUUGAGCUGUGCUUGAGUACUUUCAGUGUUAACACUGGUGAAUCUAUAAGGUCUUCAUAAAAUGGGAUUUGGUAAGGGAAGUUGUCUUUAAGGAACUGCCUAGAGCAAAAGGGCGUGGGUUGGAUAAAUGGAGAAAGAAAUACUGGAAACAAAGACAUCAC
Molecule: long non-coding RNA, 906 nt
Filed under: Dasypus novemcinctus (nine-banded armadillo)
Lineage: Eukaryota; Metazoa; Chordata; Mammalia; Cingulata; Dasypodidae
Description: lncRNA (ENSDNOG00000051416.1)
Source: RNAcentral